This 206-nucleotide microRNA precursor is filed under the name Oryza punctata. RNAcentral's name for it is "MIR812 microRNA precursor family". It matches the Rfam family "MIR812 microRNA precursor family". The record is from Rfam by way of RNAcentral. Lineage: Eukaryota; Viridiplantae; Streptophyta; Magnoliopsida; Poales; Poaceae.
AAUACUUGUCGCUUUGAGUUUUUGUUUGUAAACUUUGAUCAUUCGUCUUAUUCAAAAAAUUAUAGAAUUAUUAUUUAUUUUGUUUGUGACUUGCUUUAUUAUCAAAAGUACUUUAAGCCUAACUUUUCUUUUUUAUACUUGCAUUAAUUUUUCAAAUAAGACGAAUGGUCAAACUUUGCAAACAAAAAGUUAAAGCGAUAACUAAU